AGCAGUUUACCAUUACACAGUAAACAACAAUAAGGCAACAAGGGAUGGAUAUUACUGUGUAUCGCCUCAAAAACUCACUCAAACGCUGGAAAAAACAGCUCUGCUGAAGAGCUACGCUCAUCUGUAACAAGGAUUCAUUUUCUGACAUCAUAACCCACGAAUGCAGAGCUCUUCUGCAGCAUCCAUGAGACCAACAGCAAGGACGGGAAAAUAUCUACUGCUGUGUGCAACCGCAUCAUCAAGAAGAAAUAAAGCCGAGUGAACGUGUACGGUGAUGAAUUAACCUUCAGCUCUCCUCCUGGCACUUCAUGAAACACAGCGAGAGGAAAGAAGGAAGCGGACGACAAAAAUACAAAGUAUUUCCCAACAUAAACUCUACGUGACAACGAUUUCACCUCGAAUCACCCUGUGAGGAAACAUGAACAACUGUGUCUGUUUUUUUAUCUGGCUGGUAGGGUAGUUUAACUUCUCCACACACUACAAAUCCACUUAAAGUGAGAGGAUGCCAUUUAACACUGACUUUGAACUUCAUGGAUUUUAAUUUGGACUAUAAAUUGAAUUUACUGCAGCCUGUUCUACCACAACUUUCCAGCAGAGGGCGCUAAACCCGGGACUUGUUACUAGUGGCUGACAGAUGUGGACGCAAAUACUUUAUAUACUUAAUCUACAGAAAUGCAUCAUGGUCUAUAAGAUCAUCAUAUGUUUGUGUUGAACCAUGUAUCUCUAAAAAAAAAGCAGCUUGUUUUAAACUUUGAGCCAACAAUCCAAGAGAGUUUUUAAUUUGUUUAUUUAGUUUAAGAACACUUCAUCCUUCAGAUGAUCAGAGAUACAUGGUUUUCACUGGACAACUUGUAAUCUUCAAAGUAACUGGUAACUAAAGCUAUCAGACAAAUGGAGUAAAAAGUACAAUAUUUGCCUCUGAGAUGUCGUGGAGUAUGAAGUAUAAAGUAAAUACAAGUACCUCAAAUUUGUAGCCAAGUGCUUCACGUGAUGUAUACCAACCCUUUAUCUUACUAACAAUGUUUUUUCAUUAUGUACACUGAAAGAGUUUUUGUUUGUAAUAGUUGUAGAGAUGUAAUAAAGGCAGAUCCUGCCUUAAACAAACUUCAGUUGAAGUAAUGGGGGACAAAAUCUGCAGUCCAUUCAGUCCACUCUGUCUCUUAUUAGCUUUGAAUAUGGAUAUAUACUGUACUACAUUUUCUUUUUCAGAUUGACCAGGAAUGUACAGAUUGGUGACAAAUUCAAGACAAAAACAACAUGGAGUGGCCAAAAGAAGAAUUAUAGUUUGCCAUAGAUUUAUACUGAUGACUGCAAAGGUCAUAGCAUAUGAUUUACAUAAUUUGCAUACUCAUUACAUCAUCCGGUGAUCCUUUGUGUCCCGUAGAUGGAAGCAUUAUCAUCCUGGAAGAGACCACUCCUAACAGUAUGUAUUAAUUAUGAGCCUCCACUCACUUAUUUAGCUUUAAUUUGUCACCUGUCUCUAUAUGAAAUACUUAGAGUUAGCUCCAUUUCGACCAACUAUAACAACUGAUAACACAUUUUCACUACAGAGCUUUUUUUUGUUUUUUUUAAAAUGUAUUUUUAUUUUUUAGAAUUUAUUAUUGCUACUUUAUUUAAGUAAAGAAAUAAAUGUAUCCUGACAUAAUCAAAAGACCUGGUUUUGCAUUUUGAUACCCACUGACUACAACUUCCAUGUACAUUACUGUCAAAAACAUUGAUACAACUGUGUGUGUUUUUAUAUCUGAUUUCCAUCCACUUCACUUUACAUUUAUCCAACUAAAAUUACAUCAUACAUCGAUCAAUACAUUAAAUAACUAUUUUCUCAAUUCUUUUUGCAGCUUCAUUUAA
Molecule: long non-coding RNA, 1848 nt
Organism: Larimichthys crocea (large yellow croaker)
Lineage: Eukaryota; Metazoa; Chordata; Actinopteri; Sciaenidae
Exons: 3
Source: RefSeq, a predicted model, not a curated record